GGUUGGGGGAGAAAGAGCAGCGGGGAACAGACAGAGCAUGAAUGGAGUCCUCAACAGACUUAAAAUCAAAUCAACACAAACCUUUAUAUCUUACUGUUGUGCCUCUACUCAUGCACUGCCUCUUCCCUGGCUGCCCCUUAUUUUUCUAUCU
This 151-nucleotide microRNA precursor is filed under the name Cucumis sativus (cucumber). Its description in RNAcentral is "pre miRNA MIR408". It matches the Rfam family "MIR408 microRNA precursor family". The record is from Rfam by way of RNAcentral. Lineage: Eukaryota; Viridiplantae; Streptophyta; Magnoliopsida; Cucurbitales; Cucurbitaceae.